GAUAUGUUUCCUAUAGAGAGUCGAAAGUUUCUAGUUAGAUUUUGUAAUCAGACUUAACCAAUUUGUUUAGGGGUUUCAUUUUUAAACAAAUUAGGCUCCCACUAUUUUUUCAGAUCCCUACACUCCCUUGGUAGAGAUGUAAAAAUCUCCGUGAUCAGUGAUUUUUAGUGGGUGGUGCGGUCUCACUGACUAGCUCAUCACUUUGUUGGGAAUAGUGUCCCAAAGCCAAUCAUCAGCCUGUUGACGGUUGUGCUCCUUUUGCAUUAGUAUAUAAAUUAUAAAUAAAUAAAAGUUAUUUUGAUAUUUUUCAUCAUAAAUUAUUUCAUCUUCUAAUGAACUCCUGUAUUGUGGUGAAGUCCUUAGGACUAUUUAGACUCGACAAAGGAGGAUUUGUCGUUUAGUCUUUAAACCUGUUCGUGAUCAAAUGAUACGUUGUUACCAAGAACAACAAUGUUUAUCGAGCAUAGGUCGUUGUAUACCAUAUAGGUUGGUUGUCCUCUUAAUCAAGGAGUGUGGAGACACUGGUAUGGCAUAUAAGUGAGAUGUAAGGGUACAUCUACACUGAAUGUGACUGACUCUGGAACUAUCUCUGCUGCCAAGAUUUGCUUCGAUGGGAUAUGGAUAUAAAUAUCCUUCUGACCUGAGACUGCCACGGUGACUUGCAAGCAACUCACUGCACUUAGGCACUGGACUACCUGAAUUUCUAAUUCAUUGACGGAAGGAUGCUGGGUGUAGUCAAGUACUUGACUUGUCGGUGCGUGUGUCAAGAUGGGAUUGACCACUCCAGUUCAGGAGCUGUGUACAGUCGUGUUUCAAUUUAGCAAAACUUUGGCCAGGGUAGUCCUAGUGAGGAGUCACAGGACUGUU
Molecule: long non-coding RNA, 867 nt
Filed under: Elaeis guineensis (African oil palm)
Lineage: Eukaryota; Viridiplantae; Streptophyta; Magnoliopsida; Arecales; Arecaceae
Description: long non-coding RNA (EGUI_LNC075409)
Source: RNAcentral